GUAGGUGGCAAGCGUUGUCCGGAAUUAUUGGGGCGUAAAGCGCGCGCAGGCGGUUCUUUAAGUCUGAUGAGAAAGCCCACGGGCUCAACCGUGGAGGGUCAUUGGAAACUGGAGAACUUGAGUACAGAAGAGGAAAGCGGAAUUCCACGUGUAGCGGUGAAAUGCGUAGAGAUGUGGAGGAACACCAGUGGCGAAGGCGGCUUUCUGGUCUGUAACUGACGCUGAGGCGCGAAAGCGUGGGGAGCAAACAGGAUUAGAUACCCUGGUAGUCCACGCCGUAAACGAUGAGUGCUAAGUGUUAGGGGGUUUCCGCCCCUUAGUGCUGCAGCUAACGCAUUAAGCACUCCGCCUGGGGAGUACGGCCGCAAAGGCUG
Molecule: ribosomal RNA, 374 nt
Filed under: uncultured organism
Description: partial 16S ribosomal RNA
Rfam family: Bacterial small subunit ribosomal RNA
Source: RNAcentral